ACGGAGGAUCCAAGCGUUAUCCGGAUUUAUUGGGUUUAAAGGGUGCGCAGGCGGGCAUAUAAGUCAGUGGUGAAAUCUCCCGGCUCAACUGGGAAACUGCCAUUGAUACUGUAUGUCUAGAGUGCAGAUGAGGUAGGCGGAAUGUGUCAUAGACCGGUGAACUACUUUUCCAUGACACUGAAGCCCGAUAGCGAGGGGAGCGAACCGGAUUGGAUCCGAGGUUCGUGCAGGAGAUUGUGUGGAGGGAUGAG
RNAcentral lists this ribosomal RNA (251 nucleotides) under uncultured prokaryote. Its description in RNAcentral is "partial 16S rRNA". It matches the Rfam family "Bacterial small subunit ribosomal RNA", at positions 525 to 775 of the family's 1533-position model. The record is from RNAcentral.